GGUCUGCGCGUGUCACGAAGGGGCCCGCAGCCUCAGGGGCGUCCUGGGCGCCGCGACCCCGGCGGCCCGCGACGCACAGGGUCGGCCCGGGACUCACCGGGUGGAGGUGCCCUUCCGCACAUCGCACAUCAUGCACUUGAAGGCCUCCGCGCUGUUCCGGAAGGUGCAGACGCUACAGUCCCAGUAACCCUCAUCCGAGGACGGCUUCGGCUGCCGCUUCGGCCUGCAGGACACAACCGGGACACGACGCAGCGCGGGGUCAUCAGCAGGCCGCGCCCGGCGCCCGAGCCCCGGCCGCCCCCGCCCCGCCCCCCGCCCCAAUUCCGCGACCCCAGUCCCGCGGGCCCUGGGCGCGCCGCGCUCCGGCUCGGAGGGGGAGGGGACCAGGAAGGGGCAGGGCGCGAUCCCAGUCGCACUCGCAGUGGCCGCUACGGUUCUGAUACCGAGGGCUGCCGCUUGGGCCGCCGCUGCCGCCAUCGUGGCUCCAUUGUGGGGUAGCCGACGCCGGCCCCUCACGCGGCAGCGCUCGCGCAGCAGCGGCGCCGCCCCCGUUCUCACCCGGGUGCCUGGGCGGCGAGCGAGGUGGCCGCCUGGAGCCCCGCGCGAAGGCCCUGCCGCCUGCAAGUCCGGGCCCCGGGGCCCAGGCACUGUUACCUGGUGGGGCUCUUCUUGUCUCCCAUCGCUUGGCUAGUAACGCACGCCCAGAGUCGCCGCGGCGGCCGCUCUGUUUGUCAAUACGAAGGAUAAUAAGCCGGGCGGAAGCGGGCGGGGGAGGAGAAGGGGGGCGGGGAAGGCCGCACCGCCGAGCUCCGGAGCCGCCGCCGGAUCCCACGCAGCCUCCAGCUGUCGGGGAAACUCCUGCCCGGCGCACGUGACCCGCGCCCGCCAACCAGCGGCCGCGCCGGAGACUUCAAACGCGGCCAGCGCGGCCCAGCACCCGCGGUCCUGGGGAUUGAAGCCAGGGACAUCCUACUACUGUACUACAUUUGCAGCCCUUUUUGUUUUAUCUUGGGACAGAUCUCCUUUGGUUGAGAAGGCUGAUCCAGAACUUGUGAUUCUCUUACCUCAGUCUCCUGAGCAGGUAGAAUUACUGAGCUACAGUAACAAAAAUGGCACAGUAUUGGCAUCAAAACAGACAUGAAG
Molecule: long non-coding RNA, 1143 nt
Organism: Sciurus carolinensis (gray squirrel)
Lineage: Eukaryota; Metazoa; Chordata; Mammalia; Rodentia; Sciuridae
Exons: 3
Source: RefSeq, a predicted model, not a curated record